This 462-nucleotide ribosomal RNA is filed under the name uncultured bacterium. RNAcentral describes it as "partial 16S ribosomal RNA". It matches the Rfam family "Bacterial small subunit ribosomal RNA", at positions 29 to 507 of the family's 1533-position model. The record is from RNAcentral.
AACAAACGCUGGCGGCGUGCCUAAUACAUGCAAGUCGAACGGGGAAAGCUUUCGGGUGAGUACUAGUGGCGCACGGGUGAGGAACGCGUGGAUAAUCUGCCUUAGAGUGGGGGAUAACUAGUCGAAAGAUUAGCUAAUACCGCAUAAGACCACGAGAGCUGCGGCUUUUGAGGUCAAAGGUUUUUCGCUCUAAGAUGAGUCCGCGUAAGAUUAGCUAGUUGGUGAGGUAACGGCUCACCAAGGCGACGAUCUUUAACUGGUCUGAGAGGAUGAUCAGUCACACUGGAACUGAGACACGGUCCAGACUCCUACGGGAGGAGGCAGUAGGGAAUAUUGCACAAUGGAGGAAACUCUGAUGCAGCGACGCCGCGUGAGUGAUGAAGGACUUCGGGUCGUAAAGCUCUGUCGCAGGGGAAUAACACAAUGAAGGUACCCUGUAAGAAAGGAUCGGCUAACUUCGUG